CUGUUCAACCUCUCUGAGCGGAGACCUGACAUCACGAAGCUCCAUGCCAAGGUACUGGAAUUUGGCUGGCCUGACCUCCACACCCCAGCCCUGGAGAAGAUCUGCAGCAUCUGUAAGGCCAUGGACACAUGGCUCAAUGCAGACCCUCACAAUGUCGUUGUUCUACACAACAAGGGAAACCGAGGCAGGAUAGGAGUUGUCAUCGCGGCUUACAUGCACUACAGCAACAUUUCUGCCAGUGCGGACCAGGCUCUGGACCGGUUUGCAAUGAAGCGGUUCUAUGAGGAUAAGAUUGUGCCCAUUGGCCAGCCAUCCCAAAGAAGGUGGGUCUCGGGCUCACAGCCCCUUGCAUGUAUGUGUGCACUCACUCUAUGUGGGGACUAGACUUGUGUACUCACAGGGAUGGGAUAGCUGUGCCUAGGUGGGGGUGUACCAGGCGCAGGUUUUCAGAUGCCAGCCUGCAGUGGUGUGAGCUCAGGCACACCACUCAGGAGAGCCUGGGAGCCAGCCUGUGGUGUGUGCCCACAGAUUGGCACAGCACUUGACUCUGAGGCCUGUGCUAGAGAGCAGUGCAACCUUCAUGGGGAAGCAUGAGUCUGGGGAUAAGAAGGCACUCGUAUAGGAAGGCGUGUGCUGUUCUUGGCCCUGGAGGCAGGAUUGCUUCAGUGCUUGAAUGAGUCUACGGGAGGCUGCAUCACUGCCCCCUGAUGUGGGAGGUCAGAGACUCAUGAUAAGGGUCACCUUCUGUUGGGAGAGUUUAGACAGUUUUACUGAGGGCUUUCAACCACAUGGUCUCAUUGGAGUCUCACAAUAGCCCAGGCAGGAAACAGGGCAGGGAUGGAUUUAUUCAUUCAGCAAAAUUUAAAUCAUCUACUAUGGCUCCAAGCACUGAGAUAUCUAGGUGAAUAGGAAACAGUCCUUUCCCUUGGUGAGCUGAUACCUAAUGAGAGAGAUGGACAU
RNAcentral lists this small RNA (960 nucleotides) under Pongo abelii (Sumatran orangutan). RNAcentral's name for it is "retained intron". Lineage: Eukaryota; Metazoa; Chordata; Mammalia; Primates; Hominidae. The record is from RNAcentral.